CCGGCGCACGGGUGAGUAACGCGUAUGCGACCUGCCCGUUGCAGGGGGAUAAUCGGGAGAAAUCCCGUCUAAUACCGCGUAACGCCGCGGGGCUGCAUGGCCCUGCGGCCAAAGGGAGCGAUUCCGGCAACGGAUGGGCAUGCGUGACAUUAGCUAGUUGGCGGGGCAACGGCCCACCAAGGCGACGAUGUCUAGGGGUUCUGAGAGGAAGGUCCCCCACCACUGGUACUGAGACACGGACCAGACUCCUACGGGAGGCAGCAG
This 264-nucleotide ribosomal RNA is filed under the name uncultured bacterium. Its description in RNAcentral is "partial 16S ribosomal RNA". It matches the Rfam family "Bacterial small subunit ribosomal RNA", at positions 95 to 354 of the family's 1533-position model. The record is from RNAcentral.